This 85-nucleotide transfer RNA is filed under the name Candidatus Woesearchaeota archaeon CG08_land_8_20_14_0_20_47_9. RNAcentral describes it as "tRNA-Leu". It matches the Rfam family "tRNA". Rfam says of the family: Transfer RNA (tRNA) molecules are approximately 80 nucleotides in length. Their secondary structure includes four short double-helical elements and three loops (D, anti-codon, and T loops). Further hydrogen bonds mediate the characteristic L-shaped molecular structure. tRNAs have two regions of fundamental functional importance: the anti-codon, which is responsible for specific mRNA codon recognition, and the 3' end, to which the tRNAs corresponding amino acid is attached (by aminoacyl-tRNA synthetases). tRNAs cope with the degeneracy of the genetic code in two manners: having more than one tRNA (with a specific anti-codon) for a particular amino acid; and 'wobble' base-pairing, i.e. permitting non-standard base-pairing at the 3rd anti-codon position. Lineage: Archaea; Nanobdellati; Candidatus Woesearchaeota. The record is from RNAcentral. RNAcentral also lists the same sequence under 2 other names.
GCGGGGGUAGCGAAGUCUGGAAAACGCGCAGGACUUAAGAUCCUGUCCCUUAGUGGGUUCGGGGGUUCAAAUCCCCUCCCCCGCA